This 85-nucleotide transfer RNA is filed under the name Felis catus (domestic cat). It matches the Rfam family "tRNA". From Rfam's summary of the family: Transfer RNA (tRNA) molecules are approximately 80 nucleotides in length. Their secondary structure includes four short double-helical elements and three loops (D, anti-codon, and T loops). The record is from Rfam by way of RNAcentral. Lineage: Eukaryota; Metazoa; Chordata; Mammalia; Carnivora; Felidae.
GCCUGGGUGGCUUAGUCGGUUAAGCAUCCAACUUCAGCUCAGGUCAUGAUCUUGCAGUUUGUGGGUUCGAGCCCCACAUAAGGCU